CACUACUUUGUUUUGAGGAGCAUCAGCAAUGGAUAGAUAAAUAAAUGUGCUUCUUUGGUUUUAUAAAUACCUCUACCUUUUCUCCAGAAUACAAUAAUUCCUUAUCUUACUGCUUAUACACAGCAAUUUAGAUUCCUCCUAAUUACUAACUAAUUUUAUGGUUAAUGUCACCUCCUUCCUCCUCUCCCUAAAUGCAGACAUGUAUAUUCUUAAAUACAUACGCAUAUCUCAUCAAAAUUAUUUCAGUAUAAGCAUGAAUACCACGAACCAAAAGUUUGGCAUCCCUGCUAUAGUGAAAGAUGACUGCCACCUAUGGUUUUCAGGUACUUAAAAGCAAACAGCCUGAUAAUUCUGUAUAUCCGACUACCAAAGAGAAAAGUGCCCAAUUACGGCUGCUAUACUGUGGUAAGCUGCAUUAAAAUGGACAUUACAAUCUCUUUCUCAGAAAUACCAUACAUAAAAAUUGCUGGAAGUCUAGCAAAUUAAUGCACAUAUUUCACUUUGGGAAAAAAUCUUUUUGCUCCAGUAAACAGAAACUAAUUGUAGCCAUAAUAUUUCUCCCUUUCGGGGCUGGGACAUAUUAUUUCUGAAGGAAGAGAGACAAAGUUAACAAAAGAGAAAAUGAUACUAAAAGAGAGAGCAACAAAUACAAACAAAGAAUAAGUCCAAUACUGAUUUUUUUAAAAAUCUCCCUUUUAAAGUAAUCUUAGUCCUGGGCCUUCUCAUUCGUAUUGUACUUGGCUAAAUAUGAUAACUGGCCUAUCUAAAAAACCCCAAAUCAGUAUUACACUAGCAUUUACCUCCUCCAUUUUCACUACAUAAAAUUAAUACUAAACCUAUAUUAUAAACAUGCAAAAUGCUGUAAAAGUGGUCAGAAAAUGUUGCUCAAAUAUCUGAGGUUCACACAUCACCAUUUCAUGCUUGCUUUCUAACGGCAUCGGUACCCUUUAUAAUCUACAUAAUUCAGAUGCCUGCGGUAAAAUCUGUGCUUCAUAGAAAAAAAACGUCUUCUAGGUAGUCACUGCUCCACAAUACUAUAUUAGUGAUGUAUUUUCCUGAUGUAUUUUAGGCCAAAAAUAGCAUUCUUCAAUUUACUUCCUUGUGCCCACUUUGGCUACUGAAUCAAACUGUCACCGGUACAGUAACAUUCCCCUGUAUUUUCAAACCACUCAGUCUCCUUUGAUGGGAACUUCAUAUCAGACAGAAAUUACUCCUUAGCACAUUUGAUGAAUCCAGCUUAAAAUAAAACACCAGAACUGCAUGAACA
RNAcentral lists this long non-coding RNA (1267 nucleotides) under Chloebia gouldiae (Gouldian finch). RNAcentral's name for it is "Erythrura gouldiae (Gouldian finch) lncRNA (ENSEGOG00005000435.1)". Lineage: Eukaryota; Metazoa; Chordata; Aves; Passeriformes; Passeridae. The record is from RNAcentral.